GUGAAUCAUCGAAUUUUUGAACGCAAAUUGCACUCUCCUCUGAGAGUAUGCCUAUUUGAGGGUCAGCCUAUAAAAAUCGACAUCGUUGCUGUUUCGCGGUUGCGUUCGUCGGUAAUUGGGGCAUCUUAAAUCCUUUUGAUUUAAGCGACUUAAAAUUUUCUUUUUGCUCCAUGAACGUUUCUAAGAUUUAUUUCUUUACACGUUUAAGGUAUCUAUUUUUAUUAGACGUGGCCGUCAUAUCGGAGCGCGUCCAUAAUUUUUCAUUAACUGACCUCAGACAGGUAAUAGUACCCGCUG
Molecule: unclassified non-coding RNA, 297 nt
Filed under: Glomus sp.
Lineage: Eukaryota; Fungi; Glomeromycota; Glomeromycetes; Glomerales; Glomeraceae
Description: partial contains 5.8S ribosomal RNA and internal transcribed spacer 2
Rfam family: 5.8S ribosomal RNA (bases 1-65)
Source: RNAcentral